This 329-nucleotide ribosomal RNA is filed under the name uncultured eukaryote. RNAcentral describes it as "partial 18S ribosomal RNA". It matches the Rfam family "Eukaryotic small subunit ribosomal RNA", at positions 1470 to 1796 of the family's 1831-position model. The record is from RNAcentral.
CCCUUAGAUGUUCUGGGCCGCACGCGCGCUACACUGAUGCAUUCAACGAGUUUAUAACCUUGACUGAGAAGUCUGGGUAAUCUUUUGAAAGUGCAUCGUGAUUGGGAUAGAUUAUUGCAAUUUUUAAUCUUGAACGAGGAAUUCCUAGUAAGCGCGAGUCAUCAGCUCGCACUGAUUACGUCCCUGCCCUUUGUACACACCGCCCGUCGCACCUACCGAUUGAAUGAUUCGGUGAAAAUUUCGGACUGUGCCGCUGUGCCCUUCACUGGGCGUAGUGAUAUGGGAAGUUAUUUAAACCUCAUCAUUUAGAGGAAGGUGAAGUCGUAACA